This 500-nucleotide ribosomal RNA is filed under the name uncultured bacterium. Its description in RNAcentral is "partial 16S ribosomal RNA". It matches the Rfam family "Bacterial small subunit ribosomal RNA", at positions 30 to 523 of the family's 1533-position model. The record is from RNAcentral.
AUUGAACGCUGGCGGAAUGCUUUACACAUGCAAGUCGAACGGCAGCACGGACUUCGGUCUGGUGGCGAGUGGCGAACGGGUGAGUAAUGUAUCGGAACGUGCCCAGUCGUGGGGGAUAACGUAGUGAAAAUUACGCUAAUACCGCAUACGAUCUAUGGAUGAAAGCGGGGGAUCGCAAGACCUCGCGCGAUUGGAGCGGCCGAUAUCAGAUUAGGUAGUUGGUGGGGUAAGGGCCCACCAAGCCAACGAUCUGUAGCUGGUCUGAGAGGACGACCAGCCACACUGGAACUGAGACACGGUCCAGACUUCUACGGGAGGCAGCAGUGGGGAAUUUUGGACAAUGGGCGAAAGCCUGAUCCAGCCAUUCCGCGUGCAGGAUGAAGGCCCUCGGGUUGUAAACUGCUUUUGUACAGAACGAAAAGGUUUCUACUAAUACUAGGAGCUCAUGACGGUACUGUAAGAAUAAGCACCGGCUAACUACGUGCCAGCCGCCGCAGUAA